AACGAACGCUGGCGGCAUGCCUAACACAUGCAAGUCGAACGAGAUCUUCGGGUCUAGUGGCGCACGGGUGCGUAACGCGUGGGAAUCUGCCCUUUGGUUCGGAAUAACAGUUGGAAACGACUGCUAAUACCGGAUGAUGACGAAAGCCCAAAGAUUUAUCGCCAGAGGAUGAGCCCGCGUAGGAUUAGCUAGUUGGUGUGGUAAAGGCGCACCAAGGCGACGAUCCUUAGCUGGUCUGAGAGGAUGAUCAGCCACACUGGGACUGAGACACGGCCCAGACUCCUACGGGAGGCAGCAGUGGGAAAUAUUGGACAAUGGGCGAAAGCCUGAUCCAGCAUGCCGCGUGAGUGAUGAUGGCCUUAGGGUUGUAAAGCUCUUUUACCCGGGAUGAUAAUGACAGUACCGGGAGAAUAAGCUCCGGCUAACUCCGUGCCAGCCGCCGCCGUAA
This 448-nucleotide ribosomal RNA is filed under the name uncultured bacterium. Its description in RNAcentral is "partial 16S ribosomal RNA". It matches the Rfam family "Bacterial small subunit ribosomal RNA", at positions 29 to 523 of the family's 1533-position model. The record is from RNAcentral.